GCAGGUCCACGCUCCUUUAAUCAGCGCUGGACGUUAAUUAACGAUCAGUGCGAACUAACCCGACACCAAGCGGAUGCCAGGCAACUUUUAUGCAAAUGAACAGUUUUAAAGUGUUUUGACUGAAACCUAGUGAAUUUAACACCCAUUAAUUGAAACACGCCGAGUUGCUCAGCCUCGUCAUCCAGUUGUCGGCGCUAACGCUGCUCUGAACCUAUCAACGAAUAAAGGGCAGGAAAUCAAAUCGCCACAUGCCUCGGCUCGAUCAACAGCAUCACGGCCGUAGCAUCCGGACAUCGUGUUGGUGGAGAUAUGAAAAAGCCAGACUUAACAGAUAGGCCGUCGCAGGAGUUUCGCAACGGGAGAGACUGAAAGGAACAGACUGGCUGCCCUCUGCCUCCAUCAAUGGACUCUGUGGCCCAGUAAAGCGAUAGACUCCACGUGAUUGACCCCUUGGGUGAAGUCCAGAUGAACUUCCAGCUGUUUGGUGUUUCAUUGCCAUCAGGAAAAAACAAAAACUGCAAAAACUGAAGUAAACAAAAAAAACCUGGAAGUAUGAUCCUUUUGAUGUGAAAUGGUGACGCAUUUCCUC
Betta splendens (Siamese fighting fish) is the source of this 589-nucleotide long non-coding RNA. RefSeq lists it as uncharacterized. Lineage: Eukaryota; Metazoa; Chordata; Actinopteri; Anabantiformes; Osphronemidae. The record is from RefSeq and is a predicted model, not a curated record. The transcript has 2 exons.